AGACCGAUAGCGAACAAGUACAGUGAUGGAAAGAUGAAAAGAACUUUGAAAAGAGAGUGAAAAAGUACGUGAAAUUGUUGAAAGGGAAGGGCUUGAAGUCAGACAUGGUAUUCAGUGAUCAACUGUCUUUCGGGACUGUGCACUCGCUGUUUACUGGGCCAGCAUCGGUUUAGGCGGUGAGAUAAAUGCAAAAGAAUGUGGCUCUGCUUUCGGGUGGAGUGUUAUAGCUUUUGUUCAUAUCACCAGCUUGGACCGAGGACCGCGCUUCGGCUAGGAUGCUGGCGUAAUGACUUUAAGCCACCCGUCUUGAAACACGGACCAAG
Molecule: ribosomal RNA, 323 nt
Filed under: Blastobotrys ciferrii
Lineage: Eukaryota; Fungi; Ascomycota; Dipodascomycetes; Dipodascales; Trichomonascaceae
Description: LSU rRNA
Rfam family: Eukaryotic large subunit ribosomal RNA
Source: RNAcentral